Molecule: ribosomal RNA, 465 nt
Filed under: Vreelandella stevensii
Lineage: Bacteria; Pseudomonadati; Pseudomonadota; Gammaproteobacteria; Oceanospirillales; Halomonadaceae
Description: partial 16S ribosomal RNA
Rfam family: Bacterial small subunit ribosomal RNA
Source: RNAcentral
CCUACGGGGUGCAGCAGUGGGGAAUAUUGGACAAUGGGCGAAAGCCUGAUCCAGCCAUGCCGCGUGUGUGAAGAAGGCCUUCGGGUUGUAAAGCACUUUCAGUGGGGAAGAAAGCCUUGGGGCUAAUACCCUCGAGGAAGGACAUCACCCACAGAAGAAGCACCGGCUAACUCCGUGCCAGCAGCCGCGGUAAUACGGAGGGUGCGAGCGUUAAUCGGAAUUACUGGGCGUAAAGCGCGCGUAGGUGGUCUGAUAAGCCGGUUGUGAAAGCCCCGGGCUCAACCUGGGAACGGCAUCCGGAACUGUCAGGCUAGAGUGCAGGAGAGGAAGGUAGAAUUCCCGGUGUAGCGGUGAAAUGCGUAGAGAUCGGGAGGAAUACCAGUGGCGAAGGCGGCCUUCUGGACUGACACUGACGCUGAGGUGCGAAAGCGUGGGUAGCAAACAGGAUUAGAUACCCGUGUAGUC